This 258-nucleotide ribosomal RNA is filed under the name uncultured bacterium. Its description in RNAcentral is "partial 16S ribosomal RNA". It matches the Rfam family "Bacterial small subunit ribosomal RNA", at positions 524 to 776 of the family's 1533-position model. The record is from RNAcentral.
UACGGAGGGUGCAAGCGUUAUCCGGAUUUAUCUGGGUUUAAAGGGUGUGUAGGCGGGUCUAUUAAGUCAGUGGUGAAAUCUCCGAGCUCAACUUGGAAACUGCCAUUGAUACUAUUAGUCUUGAAUUUUGUUGAGGUAGGCGGAAUAAGUUCAUGUAGCGGUGAAAAUGCUUAGAUAUGACUUAGAACACCAAUUGCGAAGGCAGCUUGCUAAACAAACAUUUGACGCUGAGGCACGAAAGCGUGGGGAUCAAACAGG